GUCUGCCCGCGGUGGACCAACACCGCCUACCACUACUAAACACUUGUCUCCGACCUCCCGGACAAAUCUCUUUCAUAAGCUUACAAGCUAAUGUUUUACUUUAUGUUUGACUAUCACCACUUAAAAAAUGUGUAGUAAUUACAAAUGCCAUACUGACGUUAUACAUGUUACAGAUACGCUUGUCCUAGCUGUAGCGGCCUCAUAAAUAUUCAAGCUGAUGUUUUACUUUAUGUUUGACUA
Pelobates cultripes (western spadefoot toad) is the source of this 240-nucleotide non-coding RNA. Lineage: Eukaryota; Metazoa; Chordata; Amphibia; Anura; Pelobatidae. The record is from the annotation of a GenBank genome assembly.